Anguilla rostrata (American eel) is the source of this 3101-nucleotide long non-coding RNA. RefSeq lists it as uncharacterized. The record is from RefSeq and is a predicted model, not a curated record. Lineage: Eukaryota; Metazoa; Chordata; Actinopteri; Anguilliformes; Anguillidae. The transcript has 3 exons.
CUGUGUUUUCAGCUCUGUUUUAACUGUUUGUAGGAACGUUUGGAGUAAUUCCAGUCUGUCUUCCCAUUGUGGGAAGGCCUGAACGUCUCAGUGUUCUGUUUAGUUUUCUUUCUUGUUUUUUUUUUUAAACAAAAUGGAGUUGCAUGAAGUGUUUCCUGUUUAGACCAAAACCUGAUAGGUAAAGCUGACAGGUUGUCAGAAAACUUAACUAAAUGUUCAAAAGCUCUUUCAUGCCCAGAGAGAUUGUUUGGCGCAAUUGAAAACAUUCACUUAAAUUUAAAUGACUUGGGGGGGGGGGCGAACCCCAGAAGUGUACUAUCCCUUUAAAAAGAGCCCUCCAAAACGGUAAUAGUCCUACGCUAUGUAAAACCACAUCAUUAUUCAUUGUAAUCCAGGCUGUGGUCUACCACCCAUCCUCCCACUGUAUCCCACUGAAUUCAGAGCUGCUGCACAUUCGCAGAUAAUUUCAUUGAAUGCCAUUACAGUGCAUACAUCUAUCAGCUUGUAGGUUUCCAUUAUACAGCAAGUCUUUUUCCUCCCGGUCCAGGGAUGACCCGUCUGGUCCCCUGUCACUGAUGUCCUAAUAGCCUAUGACCAUCGUAGUGCACGGAACCCUGACUCCCAUUAUAACCAUUAAUGAGGGACCAGAUAGGUCACAGCCGGUCUGUGUGUUCAUGGAUCCCCAUGCUUUUAUUUCCAUCCAUUUCACAGAGCUUCAGACUAAAUAAUUCUACCUGCCAGCAAUGUGCUCUCACAAUAUAACAAUCUGUUUGGAUUAGAUAAUGGGUUGCUUUGUUACUAAUGUAGACUGUGAUGUCAUAAUUUCUGAACAUUUGCAAUCGAUCGUCUGUGCAAUAGACAAUUAUAUACACAGAUAUGUGAGGUGCUUGUUCUUUUAACUUUCAUUUUUAUACAUUUUGGAGCUGUCCAGUGGCAUGUCCUGCACACAUUCAGUUGUUUGCAUCCCGUCUGGAGGAUUUGCCCACGCCAGCUGAGAAAGUAUCACACUCCUCCAGUGCACUGGGUGGGUGGCUCAGCUGGUGGACUGCAGUAUGGAAAGAACCAGCAGUUUGUUGUAUGCUUUACAGUUGACUUGCAUGCCAGACUGCGCUGCACUAACUUGACAGAAUUAAGACGGCACAAUAAAAAAUGGUGGCAUAUUUCACAAAUUGAUUUUUAUGUGAACAUGCUUGUAAAAAAUAUAUUCAACAUUGUAAAUUGAAAAUCAGUCAUGUUAAAAAUUACUGCUAUUUUUCAGCGGAAGGUGCACCCGCCAUGUCUGUAGCAAACAACCGGGAAGAAUUACACGGCUGUGUGUGGAGACUGGGAGGUGGUGUUCCGUGGAAGAAACCUGCUGCAUCACUGCCUCCUGAUCUGCUUGGAGACAGCAGUCGAGAGCAAUACUCCCAGACCAAGCAGACUACGGUGACCUUCCACAAAGCCAUUAGAGAGAGGCAUUAGGGCGCCUGCUCACAGGAUGCACUUAGCAUAUUCCAGACCAAAGAGAAGGCCCCCCCGCACCCCCCUCCUCCAAGGACCCAUUUUAUAUAUCACUGACUGGAGAGGCCCAACUUGCCACAGGAACCUCACAUUACCAGGCAUUGUCCACCACAUGGGCAUUAUGGACUGGAGGUUCCCAGUUUCUUCGUAAGGUGAACCACUGGGAAUGCAAAUGCACUGCACUGUUGAGAAGGGAGCGAGGCAUUGGGCAUUGCGGGGGUCAUGUGCCGAGAGGCUAUGUGUCCCCUCAUUGAUCCAGGUGCCUGGGAGGGGCAGAAAUCUGGUUCUGGGGACCUAGGUCUGACUUGCUCAUCCUCUGCCUGAAGCAAGUGAACGAUCGGGCUGCAGAUGGAGGAGAAGGCAGAGUGUGCUGAGAGUGAAUUGCUCUCCUGCAGCCAGCCGAUGCCAGUCUCAGCCUCACACAGUGGGGGAGCAGCUGCCUCAUUCGCAGUCUCCAGCCAGGAAAGAGCUCUGAGGGGACCAGGAGUCGCACAAAGAGAAAACAACCAAAGUCUCCCAAAGACAGAGAGCAGCAUUCAGCUUCUCAGGAAGCAACAUGCGGUCUCGCUCUCUCACAGAAAGAAACGUGCCGUCCCCAACGGAUGCUGAAAUUUAGACUCCAGUAUGCUUUAGUGGCAUGGGAGGCAAUAGCAUAUGUUUGUCUUACAGAUAGAAAGCCACAGACUGUCAAACAGUGGCCUCUCCCACUGUGAUGAUUCUAAGAACUCUGUGGUACAGAGGAUGCUGGACGUUAGGCAUUUUAAGUUAAAAAAAAAUCACAAAGGAAAUUCAGAGGCUCUUUGCUCUGACAGAUUUCCAGCAGUAACAGAAAAUACGUUCAUCGCCCCCACCCACCCACACACCUCCACACUAUCUGAAGUAGCAAUCAGGUUGAAGAGGGCAAACACAGACAUCAGCUUGAUUGAGUUAUCCAUUCCUAAAGCACCUGUCCUCUCCCAGAAUGCUUUCCUUUCGUCCCCUGGAUCUGUGCAUCUUGCAUACAAACUCAGCAGCUGUGUGCAGUGAAUAAGUAGACCAAAAGGUAAAUGGACAGGUGCAUGUAUGUGCAAUGUAGGCUACAGUGUGCACAAGUGUGCACAAUGGAAAAUAAAUUAAGAAUGAUCCUGUUUCACAGAUUGUAAGAUAUCAUCCAUCAUUAAUCAAUUAUCAUCUAUGCACAGUGAGUGCAGCACAGAUAAAAUGUUUUUUUUUUUACAUUUCUUUCAGGAAUAGAAAACCAAAAGUUUGCUGACAGACAAUUUACGUGGCUGAUGGUUUUAGACCGAUUUGGAAAGAGACAGAAACACAAAGGCUAAUCAUUUUCACUACAUAAAUGUUUUGCAAUGCCAUGGCAGCUGAGGAUACUUGAUAAAUAAUGUUAUUAUUUUCCAUUACCACUGAACCAUGAGAAAAUACCUGCUUUAUGCAAGAUAAUGUGAAGAUGAUGAUGAAUCAACUUUCAAUUGCUGCUUUUGAAAAUAACUCAAGGUCCAAUCAUUGCUGUCUCAAAAGGAAAUAUUUCGAGUGCUUACAGGUCUACGUGCAAGAGCAAACUCCUAUUCCUCCCAAACUAUGCACAAGCAGUGUAAUUAAAUUUGGAA